AUACUAUAGUUAAACAUAACUGUGUGACAUUCUGUAUAAUUCUAACGCUUUUGAUGUAUUUUGAAUUAUGAGUGUGUGUUUUGUCAUUAAAGCCUUGUGAUGACACUGUGUGCUUUUGUCCUUAAAGGGUUUCUUCAUAUUGGUGUUUGGACUGCUGCUGGACAAAAAGGUGCGGUCAGAAAUAGCAAUAAAGUCACAGAUAUCCGGAAGUGGCACCACGAGCACCAGUGCUGGAAACUCAUCGAGUGCAUUUGGAUUUCUCCAGCUCUGGAGACGA
Molecule: long non-coding RNA, 277 nt
Organism: Labrus mixtus (cuckoo wrasse)
Lineage: Eukaryota; Metazoa; Chordata; Actinopteri; Labriformes; Labridae
Exons: 3
Source: RefSeq, a predicted model, not a curated record